UACGUAGGGGGCAAGCGUUGUCCGGAUUCAUUGGGCGUAAAGAGCUCGUAGGCGGUUCGGCAAGUCGGGUGUGAAAACUCCAGGCUCAACCUGGAGACGCCACCCGAUACUGCUGUGACUCGAGUCCGGUAGGGGACCACGGAAUUCCUGGUGUAGCGGUGAAAUGCGCAGAUAUCAGGAGGAACACCGGUGGCGAAGGCGGGUCUCUGGGCAGUAACUGACGCUGAGGAGCGAAAGCGUGGGGAGCGAACAGG
RNAcentral lists this ribosomal RNA (254 nucleotides) under uncultured bacterium. Its description in RNAcentral is "partial 16S ribosomal RNA". It matches the Rfam family "Bacterial small subunit ribosomal RNA", at positions 524 to 776 of the family's 1533-position model. The record is from RNAcentral.